GAAUAAAAAAGCUUUUCUUAAUUUAGAUUUUUCAGCAACUUAGCACAUACGUCUUUAAAGAAACAAAAACAGAGAAAUGAAAGGCUGUGCAUAUGUUAAAAAGAAGAAAUGGCUCAUAUUUAAAUUUUCUGGAAAUCUUUUACUUUCCUGUGUAUGAAUUGGCUAACCUCACCACCACAACUAGCCACAACUCACAGCUUUAUUAUCGAAAUAAUAAGCACGUUGCUAAAGAGGUUUUACAGCCCCAAAAACAAUCACCCUUCGGACAGAUGUUUUCUCCUUUUCCCUUUGAUUUGUCUGAAAAUCUCACCUCAACUAAUCUUCUAGCAGAUGUGGUUAAGACAAAUUUUCCAAAAAAAUAAAAUAUAAUAAAAAAAAAUCUAGUGUUGUGUAAGGCUCUCACGAGAAAAUGUUCCUUUAGGUGAUCUGACAAACAGGUUUGCAUAUUGCGUUAGGUCAUUGCUACAGAAAGGGUGACACCUACUUAAAAACAUCUCUCGUAUGAAAAAUGUGGGGAUUGAUAUGAUUUAGUAAUAAUAUGGUUAGUUUUCCUACAAACACUGUUGGAGUUUAUUCACAUUAAAUUGUAAACCUACCAACUCUAUUGCUUUAUUUUGCCUUAGGUUAAUCAGGCUGUUAUAGUCCAGAGCUCUGGAAAGACCUGCUUGGCUCUUCC
Non-coding RNA from Pelobates cultripes (western spadefoot toad), 676 nucleotides. Lineage: Eukaryota; Metazoa; Chordata; Amphibia; Anura; Pelobatidae. The record is from the annotation of a GenBank genome assembly.